AUUGAACGCUGGCGGCAGGCCUAACACAUGCAAGUCGAGCGGGGCGGCGGACGGGUGAGUAAUGGCUAGGAAUCGGCCUGGGAGUGGGGGAUAACGUCCGGAAACGGGCGCUAAUACCGCUAACUAUCAGCUGAGCAUGGGUCGGAUUGGCAAGUUGGUGGGGUAAGGGCAUACCAAGGCGACGAUCCGUAACGGGUCUGAGAGGAUGAUCAGUCACACUGGAACUGAGACAAGGUCCAGCCUCCUACGGGAGGCAGCAGUGGGGAAUAUUGGACAAUGGGCGAAAGCCUGAUCCAGCCAUGCCGCGUGUGUGAAGAAGGUCUUCGGAUUGUAAAGCACUUUAAGUUGGGAGGCGUUACCAACAGAAUAAGCACCGGCUAACUUCGUGCCAGCAGCCGCGGUAAUUC
This 407-nucleotide ribosomal RNA is filed under the name uncultured bacterium. RNAcentral's name for it is "partial 16S ribosomal RNA". It matches the Rfam family "Bacterial small subunit ribosomal RNA", at positions 30 to 526 of the family's 1533-position model. The record is from RNAcentral.